Molecule: long non-coding RNA, 829 nt
Organism: Bactrocera neohumeralis
Lineage: Eukaryota; Metazoa; Arthropoda; Insecta; Diptera; Tephritidae
Exons: 3
Source: RefSeq, a predicted model, not a curated record
UGUUCUGUUUUAACUGAUUUGCUUAUGUGGUCUCGCAACAACGUUUGGACUAUCGCAACGUAAAAUAUCGUAUGCAGCAUAUGAUACAACGUUCCAUAGUGUGUGUUUUUUGAAAUAUGUAUGCGCACGAGCUUACAAGAUUUUUAUCGAAAACUGGUAGCCGGUUCUUAAUUUGCAGUGGAUGUGCAAAAGUAGACGACACAGUUGUCGGUGUUGGUGAUUCUGAUUAUAAGUUUGAGUCUUUCUGCUCUGUGUACGGUUGGAUCUCCCAUUGCCGAACCGUUUCGAGCUCGCAGAAAUAUUUCUUUACUAUCGGUUUGGAUAACAACAACGUCAAUGAUGUCGGAGAUUUGGUUGCCGGAGCAAAUACUAUUUCCCGGGCAAAAAGCAGCAGCAGUUAAGGCGAAAAGAAGCGUAGAUGUAACAGCAAUAUCAUCAUUAGUCAUCAUCAAAGAAGUGGCGAAUGCGUCUAAGGCGUGAAGUACUACGUGUCCGCUUGACACUUUGACGCCCAGGAGCUUAAAUCCCCAUAUCUACAUAUGUACAUCCAUAUGCUUUUAGAUGCAGUACACUUUUCCAGCAGUAAAAGUAUGCCGUCAAAAAUUUUAACAGAAGAGUUCAGGUCAUUUUCUAUGCCGUGAUUGUUGCAUAUGUACAUUACGAUGGAUGUCUCGUUGACGGAAUCCCGAGGGCAUAACAUAAUUAAUUGUAUAACAGAUGCGCUGAGGAGACAUACGAACUGUGCCAACAAAUACUUCAUUAAUUGUUAAAUUUGUAUUUAAAACCAAAUUGGUUUAAAUAAAAAGAUUAGCAUGCAUGAAAAUUUAAA